Molecule: ribosomal RNA, 524 nt
Filed under: Fusarium annulatum
Lineage: Eukaryota; Fungi; Ascomycota; Sordariomycetes; Hypocreales; Nectriaceae
Description: eukaryotic LSU rRNA
Rfam family: 5.8S ribosomal RNA (bases 154-307)
Source: RNAcentral
CAUUACCGAGUUUACAACUCCCAAACCCCUGUGAACAUACCAAUUGUUGCCUCGGCGGAUCAGCCCGCUCCCGGUAAAACGGGACGGCCCGCCAGAGGACCCCUAAACUCUGUUUCUAUAUGUAACUUCUGAGUAAAACCAUAAAUAAAUCAAAACUUUCAACAACGGAUCUCUUGGUUCUGGCAUCGAUGAAGAACGCAGCAAAAUGCGAUAAGUAAUGUGAAUUGCAGAAUUCAGUGAAUCAUCGAAUCUUUGAACGCACAUUGCGCCCGCCAGUAUUCUGGCGGGCAUGCCUGUUCGAGCGUCAUUUCAACCCUCAAGCCCUCGGGUUUGGUGUUGGGGAUCGGCGAGCCCUUGCGGCAAGCCGGCCCCGAAAUAUAGUGGCGGUCUCGCUGCAGCUUCCAUUGCGUAGUAGUAAAACCCUCGCAACUGGUACGCGGCGCGGCCAAGCCGUUAAACCCCCAACUUCUGAAUGUUGACCUCGGAUCAGGUAGGAAUACCCGCUGAACUUAAGCAUAUCAAUA